GCACCUGCAAAAUCAGGUGUCGGGAUUGGAACCCUGAUAAGUGUUACAGGCGACACGUGACGCGUCAGCGUCUUUUUU
This 78-nucleotide small RNA is filed under the name Trabulsiella odontotermitis. Its description in RNAcentral is "isrK Hfq binding RNA". It matches the Rfam family "isrK Hfq binding RNA". The record is from Rfam by way of RNAcentral. Lineage: Bacteria; Pseudomonadati; Pseudomonadota; Gammaproteobacteria; Enterobacterales; Enterobacteriaceae.